Molecule: long non-coding RNA, 390 nt
Filed under: Cairina moschata (Muscovy duck)
Lineage: Eukaryota; Metazoa; Chordata; Aves; Anseriformes; Anatidae
Description: domestica (muscovy Duck (domestic type)) lncRNA (ENSCMMG00000006698.1)
Source: RNAcentral
CCCCCCCCCCCAGGCACAUCUUCCUGGGCUUCUCCAAGUGCGGCCGCUUCGUGCUGUCCUACACCAGCAGCAGCGGCGACGACGACUUCUCCUUCUACAUCUACCACCUCUACUGGUGGGAGUUCAACGUGCACAGCAAGCUCAAGCUGGUGCGGCAGGUCCGCCUGUUCCAGGACGAGGAGAUUUACAGCGACCUCUACCUCACCGUCUGCGAGUGGCCCAGCGACGCCUCCAAGGUCAUCGUCUUCGGCUUCAACACGCGCUCGGCCAACGGGCUGCUGGUGAACAUGAUGAUGAUGAGCGACGAGAAUCACCGCGACAUCUACAUCAGCGCCGUGGCCGUGCCCCCCCGGCGCCACUGCCCCGCCUGCCGCGCCAUGGCCCUCGCCC